This 571-nucleotide ribosomal RNA is filed under the name uncultured bacterium. Its description in RNAcentral is "bacterial SSU rRNA". It matches the Rfam family "Bacterial small subunit ribosomal RNA", at positions 274 to 842 of the family's 1533-position model. The record is from RNAcentral.
CGACGAUGCGUAGGGGUUCUGAGAGGAAGGUCCCCCACACUGGUACUGAGACACGGACCAGACUCCUACGGGAGGCAGCAGUGAGGAAUAUUGGUCAAUGGGCGGGAGGCUGAACCAGCCAAGUCGCGUGAGGGAAGACGGCCCUACGGGUUGUAAACCUCUUUUGUCAGGGAGCAAGAGGCGGGUCGAGACCUGCUGUGAGAGUACCUGAAGAAAAAGCAUCGGCUAACUCCGUGCCAGCAGCCGCGGUAAUACGGAGGAUGCGAGCGUUAUCCGGAUUUAUUGGGUUUAAAGGGUGCGCAGGCGGAGGCACAAGUCAGCGGUAAAAUCGCGGGGCUCAACCCCGCUCCGCCGUUGAAACUGUGUCCCUUGAGUGCGCGAAGGGUAGGCGGAAUGCGUGGUGUAGCGGUGAAAUGCAUAGAUAUCACGCAGAACUCCGAUCGCGAAGGCAGCCUACCGGCGCGCAACUGACGCUCAUGCACGAAAGCGUGGGUAUCGAACAGGAUUAGAUACCCUGGUAGUCCACGCAGUAAACGAUGAAUGCUAUCUGUCCGGCCGGAAUGACGGCUGG